AUACGUAGGGUGCAAGCGUUAAUCGGAAUUACUGGGCGUAAAGCGUGCGCAGGCGGUUCGGAAAGAAGGAUGUGAAAUCCCAGGGCUCAACCUUGGAACUGCAUUCUUAACUACCGAACUAGAGUAUGUCAGAGGGGGGUAGAAUUCCGCGUGUAGCAGUGAAAUGCGUAGAUAUGCGGAGGAAUACCGAUGGCGAAGGCAGCCCCCUGGGAUAAUACUGACGCUCAUGCACGAAAGCGUGGGUAGCAAACAGGAUUAGAUACCCUGGUAGUCCACGCCCUGAACGAUGUCAACUAGCUGUUGGGCCCUUCGGGGCUUAGUAGCGUAGCUAACGCGUGAAGUUGACCGCCUGGGGAGUACGGUCGCAAGAUUAAAACUCAAAUGAAUUGACGGGG
This 395-nucleotide ribosomal RNA is filed under the name uncultured bacterium. RNAcentral's name for it is "partial 16S ribosomal RNA". It matches the Rfam family "Bacterial small subunit ribosomal RNA", at positions 523 to 918 of the family's 1533-position model. The record is from RNAcentral.